This 407-nucleotide ribosomal RNA is filed under the name uncultured bacterium. RNAcentral describes it as "partial 16S ribosomal RNA". It matches the Rfam family "Bacterial small subunit ribosomal RNA", at positions 30 to 526 of the family's 1533-position model. The record is from RNAcentral.
AUUGAACGCUGGCGGCAGGCCUAACACAUGCAAGUCGAGCGGAGCGGCGGACGGGUGAGUAAUGCCUAGGAAUCUGCCUGGUAGUGGGGGAUAAAGUCCGGCAACGGGCGCUAAUACCGCAUACUAUCAGAUGAGCCUAGGUCGGCUUAGCUAGUUGGUGGGGUAAAGGCCUACCAAGGCGACGAACCGUAGCUGGUCUGAGAGGAUGAUCAGUCACACUGGAACUGAGACACGGUCCAGACUCCUACGGGAGGCAGCAGUGGGGAAUAUUGGACAAUGGGCGAAAGCCUGAUGCAGCCAUGCCGCGUGUGUGAAGAAGGUCUUCGGGUUGUAAAGCACUUUAAGUGGGGAGGCGUUACCCGCAGAAUAAGCACCGGCUAACUCCGUGCCAGCAGCCGCGGUAAUAC